GAUGAAGAACGUAGCGAAAUGCGAUAAGUAAUGUGAAUUGCAGAAUUCAGUGAAUCAUCGAAUCUUUGAACGCACAUUGCGCCCGCUAGUAUUCUGGCGGGCAUGCCUGUCCGAGCGUCAUUUCAACCCUCAAGCCCCCGGGCUUGGUGUUGGGGAUCGGCGAGCCUCCGCGCCCGCCGUCCCCUAAAUCUAGUGGCGGUCUCGCUGUAGCUUCCUCUGCGUAGUAGCACACCUCGCACUGGGAAACAGCGCGGCCACGCCGUUAAACCCCCAACUUCUGAACGUUUGACCUCGGAUCAGGUAGGAAUACCCGCUGAACUUAAGCAUAUCAAUAAGCCGAGGA
RNAcentral lists this unclassified non-coding RNA (343 nucleotides) under soil metagenome. Its description in RNAcentral is "partial contains 5.8S ribosomal RNA, internal transcribed spacer 2, and large subunit ribosomal RNA". The stretch from base 1 to 120 matches the Rfam family "5.8S ribosomal RNA", at positions 35 to 154 of the family's 154-position model. The record is from RNAcentral.